UGAGCAACCUGCCCCGAAGACCGGGAUAACACCGGGGAAACCGGUGCUAAUACCGGAUGCCCUCAUCAUGUCGCAUGGCGAGAUGAGGAGAUGGAUUCCGCUUCGGGAUGGGCUCGCGGCUUAUCAGCUUGUUGGUGAGGUAAUGGCUCACCAAGGCUACGACGAGUAGCUGGUCUGAGAGGAUGUCCAGCCACACUGGGACUGAGACACGGCAGA
This 216-nucleotide ribosomal RNA is filed under the name uncultured bacterium. Its description in RNAcentral is "partial 16S ribosomal RNA". It matches the Rfam family "Bacterial small subunit ribosomal RNA", at positions 118 to 335 of the family's 1533-position model. The record is from RNAcentral.